Molecule: ribosomal RNA, 253 nt
Filed under: uncultured bacterium
Lineage: Bacteria
Description: partial 16S ribosomal RNA
Rfam family: Bacterial small subunit ribosomal RNA
Source: RNAcentral
UACGUAGGUGGCAAGCGUUGUCCGGAUUUACUGGGCGUAAAGAGCGCGCAGGCGGUCGUUCAAGUCGCGUGUGAAAGCCCCCGGCUCAACUGGGGAGGGUCACGCGAUACUGAUCGACUCGAAGGCAGGAGAGGGUAGUGGAAUUCCCGGUGUAGUGGUGAAAUGCGUAGAUAUCGGGAGGAACACCAGUGGCGAAGGCGACUACCUGGCCUGUUCUUGACGCUGAGGGGCGAAAGCUAGGGGAGCAAACGGG